This 191-nucleotide ribosomal RNA is filed under the name uncultured Anoxybacillus sp. Its description in RNAcentral is "partial 16S ribosomal RNA". It matches the Rfam family "Bacterial small subunit ribosomal RNA", at positions 1194 to 1382 of the family's 1533-position model. The record is from RNAcentral. Lineage: Bacteria; Bacillati; Bacillota; Bacilli; Caryophanales; Anoxybacillaceae.
CAUGCCCCUUAUGACCUGGGCUACACACGUGCUACAAUGGGCGGUACAAAGGGUCGCGAAACCCGCGAGGGGGAGCCAAUCCCAAAAAAGCCGCUCUCAGUUCGGAUUGCAGGCUGCAACUCGCCUGCAUGAAGCCGGAAUCGCUAGUAAUCGCGGAUCAGCAUGCCGCGGUGAAUACGUUCCCGGGCCUU